Molecule: long non-coding RNA, 280 nt
Filed under: Capsicum annuum
Lineage: Eukaryota; Viridiplantae; Streptophyta; Magnoliopsida; Solanales; Solanaceae
Description: long non-coding RNA (CANN_LNC016951)
Source: RNAcentral
CCCGCUUCUCUUCUUCGUCCUUACUUUCCACCAACUUAGCAUACGACUCUUUCUUGGUCUCCACUUUCUUCCCCACCUCUUCAUUCCACCACCAAUCUCCCCGAUGAUGUCCGGCCCGGCCCCUAGAAACACCCAACACCUCCCUUGCAUUCUCCCUGAUGCACGUUGCCGCCCUGUCCCACAUAUUAUCCACAUCCCCCCUACACUCCCACACCCCCAUUCCCGCCAACCUCUCCCCUAUCUCCCACGCAUUCACUGGCGUCAAACCGCCCCACUUAAA